CCCACUGCCAAAACAUUUCCCAGCAACGCGUCAGCCUGCCUUUGGACACGUUCCUUACUAAAACAAAUAGGUCUAACAAAUCGUCUUUGAUAGCAAAUGCUCAUAAAGACAAACAAUGAAAACUACUAUGUUGUGUGUCUUAGGGCGGCCGGCACUGUGUGGAAUUGCCACACACAGAAACAAAACAAUCGAGCUCACCAGGCCGGCUCCCAGAAGUCAGCAGCUCAUGGCGACUUGCUCCUUCUGGAAGUCGUUCAAGGAAGGUGUUGAAUUAGAAGAAUCUCGUUAUGAACAUUCUGCUGUAAAGCCUCCUAAGCAGGAACUCGCAGCCACCCAGGUGUUUGCCCACCCCCAUCCCCACCGCGUACCUCCUCCUCCUGGUGAAAAGUCACACUGAUGACAAACUCUACGUGCUGCCUGAUGGGCUUUGACCCUGGGAUAUCCUCCCCUCCCGCGGUCUUCAGGAGAGGAAAAAAGGGCCAAAUGGAGAACUGAGGGAAUUCUCUAAAUAGUUGAAAGACACAUCCAAACGGACUUUGCCCUACUCAUCUGUCGUGGUAGCCUCCCAUACACGCUGCUGGGACAGUUGUCGACGGCCCACUUCGUCUUCCAGCGGGGUAAGCCAACUAUACUGACCCCAGCCCCCUGGGGAGCCGUGUAGGGUUGUAUGUCUCGGGUACAACUAGUUCUGACCCCCUCGAUGCACACGCAUGGGCUUCCAAGGCUAAAUUCCGAACGAAGAGAAUAAAACUGCCGCAAAUGGGAGGAGGACUCAUAGGCUUGGACUGAGUGGGCCCUGGAGGGUUCCACUCAGGGAACACGAGUCGAUCUGCUUCAUACCCCGAGGGAGUAAAUUUCUGAACUAGCCUCUCCAUCCAAUCCUUACUCCCUUAACUAGAAGUCGGAAAAUAGCUUUUCCAGGUUCUGGUGACCUGCCUCGGUGUUGCUGGCCCUUGGCCCCACUCCCCAUUCCUGUGGUGUCACCACGUCCCCAAUCCCGCGUUCCAGGAGCUCUGCCACAUCCCGCUUCCCGGUGCUUUUGUGCAGGAGGGGCCCACAGAGGCCUCGUUCUUCUUUUUUUUUUUUUAAACCGUUACCAUGACGUCAUGCCUUUUUCUCAAAGCUAAGACCCCUCUCCUGUGCCUGGGGAAUUAUAACCUCUCCUGGAGGGUCAGAGAGGGGAACGGAGGUCGGCUGCGCCCAGCCACCACUCCACCAAACAUUCAUUACCGCUGUCGCCUGCGGGGACUUUCAAGCUGCAAGUACCUAAGGCGUCAAAAAGGAUGCCCGAGGGGUCCUGCGGUAUUUGUCCCAAUCAAGUCACGGGUAGUAGCGGGGAGGGCAGAGUGGAACAACAGAAGGGGGCAUCCGAAACUUCAGCACGAAAAUUAAAACUUUAGCUUGUACCCCCCCCCCCCCAAGACUGCAUCUUCAUGUUCAAACAACAGCCAGUAACAACAAUAAUAAAACAGUGAGUGCUUGAAAUACAAUCAAACUGUUCACUGGAGGUUUGCUUCCGAGUAAGCAUAUAAAAACCAAAUGCAAAUAUCUUUUCCUGGCGAUUAUCCAGAACCCAACCAUGGAAAGUUGAUCUCUGUAAAACUGAACACCACCACCACCCCCUCCUCGUGCCAAAUAAGAAUUUCACAAUGGCCAAUUUUCUAUCCAAAGCCGGGAGGGCAACAGAAAACACCACUGCUGUUCGAUUUGUUAUUUGCAGAACAAACUGUUUACACUUCUAUGGGCUGGGGGUUGGGGAGCAACUGGGGACUGGAGGAGGGCAGUCCAACACAUUGUCUCUUACAGAACCCGGCCCGCUGGAAUGUGGAAACCCUACAAUCAGAAAACAAACAAGUUGCUAAAAGCUGCGUGUGAAGU
This is a long non-coding RNA of Rattus norvegicus (Norway rat), 1878 nucleotides long. Ensembl lists it as uncharacterized. Lineage: Eukaryota; Metazoa; Chordata; Mammalia; Rodentia; Muridae. The record is from Ensembl.